Molecule: small RNA, 30 nt
Filed under: Arabidopsis thaliana (thale cress)
Lineage: Eukaryota; Viridiplantae; Streptophyta; Magnoliopsida; Brassicales; Brassicaceae
Description: ATSL178880
Source: RNAcentral
UUCUUUGCACAAUAAAGCUCUUCAUGAGCU